Molecule: long non-coding RNA, 3093 nt
Organism: Crotalus tigris (Tiger rattlesnake)
Lineage: Eukaryota; Metazoa; Chordata; Lepidosauria; Squamata; Viperidae
Exons: 5
Source: RefSeq, a predicted model, not a curated record
CUAUUCUAUUCUAUUCUAUUCUAUUCUAUUCUAUUCUACUCUACUCUACUCUACUCUACUCCGAAAGACACCUUGUCCCAGUUGGUUAAGGGAUAGGGGGAAUCUUUUUCUCUUAUUUUUUUGCCCCCUUGUCCCUACAUUCAACUCUGCCUUCAUAUCUGGUGAAUAAACACAGCUUUCACAGCUCAACCUAUUCCUUCCAUGGCACCGAAAUACACAUGGACACGAUAGGUUGACGCUGAGAAAAGUUUGAUGAUUUACAGAGACUCAUUAAUCCUCCGGGAACUUUCCCUUAGACAGAGCACCCUUGCCUGGAGAGAGUUAAGUAGGACAGGAAAACACCCCCCCUUCCCAAUUCCUCUCCUAUUUAACAGACUCCGAAGCUUUGUGGCUUGCGUUUCAGACUAAACCUUUCCUUGACAUUUAAGACAGCUGUGCGAGGGCAAAGUUGGAGAGCGGCAAGAAUACGCUGAGAUUUGCGCUGGUGCUUUCUUGGCCUAACUCCAAAAUAAAUGUUAAGAAAAUGGGCUGCAACGGGGAGGCCGGGUGACCAGAGAAGAGGGAGAGGAAAGUUAAAGGGAAAAACAGCUUGGAAGAAGGAGGGAGGGACAGGGGAAAGAAGAAAAAAAAAAAACCCCCACUCUGAUGAAAAACACAUAAGAGCCUCUGCUUUGAACUUGGGUGGAAAUCAUUUUUUAUUUUUUUUAGUACUGUGUUUUAGCCUCGCAAAGCUAAGGGGGCUCUGGGUGAACGUCAAGUCAAGUUUUUAAACAUUUGGGAUGCUGCUAAAGUGCCAAGAACAAAUAGAAGCUUCUAGCCCCAUCGGGGUGAGGUCAUUAAAGCAACAGCUUUCAACAUCUGCUAAGAGCUGUCUCCUUCAGGUCCACUGCUGAAGAAUUGCGGGACACUUUGCUCCUCUCCCCUGCUCGACUUCCCAAUUCAGUCUAGUUUUGUGGGUUCCCCCAUCUAAAUAGGAAUCAAAUCCAACCUGGAUUAGCUUUUCAAGAUUGGAUAAGGUCAGAUGGAAGCUGUUACUGGCCGGGUAUCAACGUCAAAUCCUUGAAGGUCUAUCCCUUCUAACAAUGGCAACAUCUAACUAAGAGUGGAGCUUUCCUUGGGGUGUCCCCACUGGGGAAUAUUCCCUCAUCUGAGGCAGCCAUGUCUUUGGGCCGUGCGCGAUUAGUCUGGCCCAAAGCUUUCUUGUCUUCAUGAUUUUAUCCCAGUCAAGAAGCCCUUCCCUUCAGAAGGGGUUGCCCAGACUUUCUUUUGGAGCAGAGAUUUUAAAAUCGCAAAGGGAUAUGUCUUGCUUUCCUAAGGUGGCUUAGAAAUAUUUCAGAUAGAUAGGCAGACAGACAGGCAGGCAGACAGACAUAAUGGAUGAAUGGACGGAUAGAAAGAAUGAAGGAGAUGGAUGGAUAUGAUGGAUGGAUGGAAUAGGCAAGCGACAGACUGAGAGUUAUACAGGACGGAUGGAUUGAUGGAUGGCUGAAUAGAUAUAUAGAAUGAACAGGUAGAUGAAUGGAAGGAUAGGACGGAUGGAAUGGAUAGACAGACAAAUAUAAUGGAUGGAUGGAUGGAUGAAUAGACAGAAUGAUUGGAUAGGUGGAUGGAUGGAUGGAUGGAUAAACAGGAUGGAUGGAUGACAAUAGUCAUAGUUUCCCACUUUGGUUUUCCAACACAACCCUCCAACAGUACAAUCCAGAGAAGACCUCACUACUGAGAAGGUGCAAGGACCUUGGAGAUCACCCAGUUCAAGCCUUGACCAGUUCAAGAAUAUCUGAUAGCAACAUCCCCAACUUAGGACCAUCCAGUUUCAACAUCCAGCAGAAACGGAGUCAUGGAGGAUGGGGAAGAAGACAAACAAAGAAAAAGAAAAAAAACCAGUCGCCCUCAGUUCCAGGAUAAACAACCCCCCUCCCUCUCAAGAGCAGAACCUGCCUCUCCCCCGUCCUCCCAAAGCUGACAAAUUAAUUGCUCCAAUCCCUGGGUCACUGAAUCAUGCCUGAACGUCAGCCAUCCUUUACCUCAGACCCUGGAGCCUGUCCCAGAACCAAUCUUUAAAAGUUUAUUUUACUGAUCAAAGCAAUAAUAUUAUGGGGUUUUUAAAAAAAGGAAAGCAAAGGGCAGGCUAAGGAGCUGGGGGGUUGAGAGAGAGAGAGAGAGAGAGAGAGAGAAAGAGAGAGGAAAGAGAGAGAGAGAGAGAGAAGGGGGAAGAAAAAGCUUUGCGUCUGACUAUAUUUAGUGGAACUAUUCAAGUAAGUGAGGACUUGGCAACGGCUGCAGGGAAGAUUGUGAAGUUAUAAGCAAUGAGAUGCUUAUCCUGGAGAGAGGCCAGGGAGGGCUACGAAAUGAGCUAUUCAGAGUUGGCAUUUGAGGAUGGGAGAGGAGAGGAGGGAAGGGGGGUGGGUCUUUAAGCAAAAGUUGCUGCAGAACCUUUGGGUUCUGCAGGAAUUCCUGGGGGAAAAUGCAGAGAUGUGGCGAAGCUUUAUCCUCUCCACCUACUGAAUACAUAAAUCCAUUGUGGCACAAUGUAAUAUGUAUCAUCGGGCUACACCUGUGGACACUUCAUAGCGGCUGCCAUGUCUCUGCCGUCAGGAAUGAUGAGUGAAACUCCCCCCCCCCGUGAAUGUUAAUGAUAGUGAUCAUUUCUCAGAACCGAAGAAGGCAAGAAUCUUCUCGGGGGACAAACAGCCAAGAAUAUUUGUGGCGUUCGAAGCAUGGAAGAGCUUAGUGUCGGCAUAGGCAUAACAAAGUUGUCGGAGUGCUGGUUACUGAAGGCUCCUGUCUGAGGCAGGACUGCACGGUUUGGAGCCCAGUGUUUCCUGAAGGCCAGCUCUUUCGAGCAAAAGCCGCAUUUGAGGUCUCUCGCUUCCUUCUUGGGAACCAGACUUUGUGAUUUAACACUGACCAGGUUCGUACGCUGUGUUACUCCGCCACAUUUGACUGUGAUGUACUAAAAAAAUAAAUAAAACAUUGAUGGUCUAGUUCAGGGGUAGGCAACCCUGGCUCUUUUAUGACGUGUGUGUUUCAGUAUGAAUCCUGCCUGUAUAAGUUAAGUGGAUAUUCCAAAAUAAAUGGAUUAAUUAAAAACGG